AUUGUACGCUGGCGGCAGGCCUAACACAUGCAAGUCGAACGGUAGCACAGAGAGCUUGCUCUCGGGUGACGAGUGGCGGACGGGUGAGUAAUGUCUGGGAAACUGCCCGAUGGAGGGGGAUAACUACUGGAAACGGUAGCUAAUACCGCAUAACGUCGCAAGACCAAAGUGGGGACCUUCGGGCCUCACACCAUCGGAUGUGCCCAGAUGGGUUUAGCUAGAAGGUGGGGGAAUGGCUCACCUAGGGGACGAUCCCUAGCUGGUCUGAGAGGAUGACCAGCCAAACUGGAACUGAGACACGGUCCAGACUCCGACGGGAGGCAGCAGUGGGGAAUAUUGCACAAUGGGCGCAAGCCUGAUGCAGCCAUGCCGCGUGUAUGAAGAAGGCCUUCGGGUUGUAAAGUACUUUCAGCGGGGAGGAAGGCGGUGAAGUUAAUAGCUUCACCGAUUGACGUUACCCGCAGAAGAAGCACCGGCUAACUCCGUGCCAGCCGCCGCCGUAA
RNAcentral lists this ribosomal RNA (503 nucleotides) under uncultured bacterium. RNAcentral's name for it is "partial 16S ribosomal RNA". It matches the Rfam family "Bacterial small subunit ribosomal RNA", at positions 29 to 523 of the family's 1533-position model. The record is from RNAcentral.